GCAAGCGAAUCCUAAAGCUUCUCUCCAAAGAGAGACACCAAACGCUGGAGUAAGAACUCCCAGGUUCCUAAACUCCACGAGCUUCUGCUGCGCUACUCUGAUCCUUCUCUAUCUUCCUCCUUCUCUGCUCUUACUCUUCUUAUCUCAUCUUUACUAACUGGCUUCUUCUCACUACUAACCCAAAGCUAACUCUAACUCUCACAGGUAGUACCCGAAUUUCCGAUCUACCUUGGAAAACAACCAGCUCUUACUAGCUGUCCCAAUAGAUCAUCCAUCCUACAUGGGAAUACCUGCCCUUGGUAGUGACCUUGUUUAACCGCUACAGUCGUUACAAAGUCUCAAGGAUUCACCCUUCGUUUCCCACAACCACACUGGAACACACCAGGGUGAGGUACUAGGUCGGACAAAACCCCUUGUCUACCAAGUCUCGCCUCUACUCUACUGCUACCUCUCUCUAUGCAGGCGCCAUCCUAUAGGGAAGGGUAGAAAUGGUUCUGCGUCCAGACACCACUCCUAAACCAAACUCUAACUCCCUGACAGAUGGUAAACCUGACAACUCGCCUGAGAAGACAUCUAAGAAUCCUCUCUAACAACUGGCACUGAGGCUGGUUCCCCGACCUGACUGCUGAACUCUCAAACAAGAGCUAGAAUCCUCUGACAACCCCUCCUACGCACCCUACGAACCUUACAGGCUGACAUCAAACCUCUAGGCGUCCCUACUGUGUCCCCUCAGAAGAAAAUCUUUGACCCAUCCUGUCCUCUGAACCUGGCCACCUAGUCUCUACGGACCAAAGUAGUACCACAAGUAGAAACCCAAUCCAUUCUGAAAGUGACGUCUGAACAUUCAAGUCCAAGACCUCAAAAUCGGGUGGAUGGAUUCUACCCUCAGCUGACACCUGAACUGAACCGGCAGACUAACUCUGCCUCAGAUGGAUCACACUUGGGUCCACUGACCCUGAGAGAACACUCUAGCCUAGAAGUUAUCAACUCAACCUCUCGACGGCUCCUAGAGCAACUAAAGAAAGAGAAAAACACUAGGGUUCACAAAAACACACACAUCAGAACAUCUAAAAGUGAGCAUACCUGGCACCACUGUGUUCGAUGUGUCUGCCCCUUGCUGAGCUUGGGUGAAGAUCCGAGCUGGAGCUGACGGACCUUCUCCACGGGAACCUGAAGAAUGAGGGGCUGACCCUCUUCCUCUGCCUCGACUACUAACCUGAACCAUGGCUGGAGCUGCUGGCUGGAACUGAGCCAACCUGGGCACAGUGGGACACUCACGUGCUAUGUGUCCUUCCUGUCCACACCGAAAACAAGCUGUCGUCCCUACUCGACAGACUCCUUUGUGCGGCCUUCCGCACCUCAUGCAUCUUGGACUGCCUGAGCCAGAGCUUGAGCCACCAAAACCCAAACUAGCCUUCAAAUUCUGCCAAAACUUCUUCUGCGACUUCCUGAGACCUCUCUUCCAUUUCUUACCUCUCGUGGCAGCUGUACUCAGAGUGGAGGGAUCAAUCCCUCCUGAACCCGAGAUUCUAGAAUCCUGGGUCUGAGCAUCUUCCUNNN
Molecule: long non-coding RNA, 1560 nt
Filed under: Manihot esculenta (cassava)
Lineage: Eukaryota; Viridiplantae; Streptophyta; Magnoliopsida; Malpighiales; Euphorbiaceae
Description: long non-coding RNA (MESC_LNC010580)
Source: RNAcentral